This 387-nucleotide ribosomal RNA is filed under the name uncultured bacterium. RNAcentral describes it as "bacterial SSU rRNA". It matches the Rfam family "Bacterial small subunit ribosomal RNA", at positions 28 to 409 of the family's 1533-position model. The record is from RNAcentral.
GAUGAACGCUAGCGGCAGGCCUAACACAUGCAAGUCGAGGGGCAGCACGUCUUCGGAUGGUGGCGACCGGCGCACGGGUGCGUAACGCGUAUGCAACCUACCUCUUACAGUGGGAUAGCCCAGAGAAAUUUGGAUUAAUACCGCAUAGUAUACAGAUUCAGCAUUGGGACUGUAUUAAACAUUUAUGGGUAAGAGAUGGGCAUGCGUUCUAUUAGUUAGUUGGAGUGGUAACGGCACCCCAAGACAGCGAUAGAUAGGGCCCGUCGAGAGGGGGAGUCCCCCACCACUGGUACGUGAGACACGGACCGAGACUCCUACGGGAGGCAGCAGUGAGGAAUAUUGGACAAUGGGCGGAGAGCCUGAUCCAGCCACUGCCGCGUGCAGGAA